RNAcentral lists this ribosomal RNA (2895 nucleotides) under Escherichia albertii. RNAcentral's name for it is "bacterial LSU rRNA". It matches the Rfam family "Bacterial large subunit ribosomal RNA". Lineage: Bacteria; Pseudomonadati; Pseudomonadota; Gammaproteobacteria; Enterobacterales; Enterobacteriaceae. The record is from RNAcentral.
ACUAAGCGUACACGGUGGAUGCCCUGGCAGUCAGAGGCGAUGAAGGACGUGCUAAUCUGCGAAAAGCGUCGGUAAGGUGAUAUGAACCGUUAUAACCGGCGAUGUCCGAAUGGGGAAACCCAGUGUGUUCCGACACACUAUCAUUAACUGAAUCCAUAGGUUAAUGAGGCGAACCGGGGGAACUGAAACAUCUAAGUACCCCGAGGAAAAGAAAUCAACCGAGAUUCCCCCAGUAGCGGCGAGCGAACGGGGAGGAGCCCAGAGCCUGAAUCAGUGUGUGUGUUAGUGGAAGCGUCUGGAAAGGCGCGCGAUACAGGGUGACAGCCCCGUACACAAAAAUGCACAUGCUGUGAGCUCGAUGAGUAGGGCGGGACACGUGGUAUCCUGUCUGAAUAUGGGGGGACCAUCCUCCAAGGCUAAAUACUCCUGACUGACCGAUAGUGAACCAGUACCGUGAGGGAAAGGCGAAAAGAACCCCGGCGAGGGGAGUGAAAAAGAACCUGAAACCGUGUACGUACAAGCAGUGGGAGCCCUGAUUUAUCAGGGUGACUGCGUACCUUUUGUAUAAUGGGUCAGCGACUUAUAUUCUGUAGCAAGGUUAACCGAAUAGGGGAGCCGGAGGGAAACCGAGUCUUAACUGGGCGUUAAGUUGCAGGGUAUAGACCCGAAACCCGGUGAUCUAGCCAUGGGCAGGUUGAAGGUUGGGUAACACUAACUGGAGGACCGAACCGACUAAUGUUGAAAAAUUAGCGGAUGACUUGUGGCUGGGGGUGAAAGGCCAAUCAAACCGGGAGAUAGCUGGUUCUCCCCGAAAGCUAUUUAGGUAGCGCCUCGUGAAUUCAUCUCCGGGGGUAGAGCACUGUUUCGGCAAGGGGGUCAUCCCGACUUACCAACCCGAUGCAAACUGCGAAUACCGGAGAAUGUUAUCACGGGAGACACACGGCGGGUGCUAACGUCCGUCGUGAAGAGGGAAACAACCCAGACCGCCAGCUAAGGUCCCAAAGUCAUGGUUAAGUGGGAAACGAUGUGGGAAGGCCCAGACAGCCAGGAUGUUGGCUUAGAAGCAGCCAUCAUUUAAAGAAAGCGUAAUAGCUCACUGGUCGAGUCGGCCUGCGCGGAAGAUGUAACGGGGCUAAACCAUGCACCGAAGCUGCGGCAGCGACGCUGAUGCGUUGUUGGGUAGGGGAGCGUUCUGUAAGCCUGUGAAGGUGUGCUGUGAGGCAUGCUGGAGGUAUCAGAAGUGCGAAUGCUGACAUAAGUAACGAUAAAGCGGGUGAAAAGCCCGCUCGCCGGAAGACCAAGGGUUCCUGUCCAACGUUAAUCGGGGCAGGGUGAGUCGACCCCUAAGGCGAGGCCGAAAGGCGUAGUCGAUGGGAAACAGGUUAAUAUUCCUGUACUUGGUGUUACUGCGAAGGGGGGACGGAGAAGGCUAUGUUGGCCGGGCGACGGUUGUCCCGGUUUAAGCGUGUAGGCUGGUUUUCCAGGCAAAUCCGGAAAAUCAAGGCUGAGGCGUGAUGACGAGGCACUACGGUGCUGAAGCAACAAAUGCCCUGCUUCCAGGAAAAGCCUCUAAGCAUCAGGUAACAUCAAAUCGUACCCCAAACCGACACAGGUGGUCAGGUAGAGAAUACCAAGGCGCUUGAGAGAACUCGGGUGAAGGAACUAGGCAAAAUGGUGCCGUAACUUCGGGAGAAGGCACGCUGAUAUGUAGGUGAAGCGACUUGCUCGUGGAGCUGAAAUCAGUCGAAGAUACCAGCUGGCUGCAACUGUUUAUUAAAAACACAGCACUGUGCAAACACGAAAGUGGACGUAUACGGUGUGACGCCUGCCCGGUGCCGGAAGGUUAAUUGAUGGGGUCAGCGCAAGCGAAGCUCUUGAUCGAAGCCCCGGUAAACGGCGGCCGUAACUAUAACGGUCCUAAGGUAGCGAAAUUCCUUGUCGGGUAAGUUCCGACCUGCACGAAUGGCGUAAUGAUGGCCAGGCUGUCUCCACCCGAGACUCAGUGAAAUUGAACUCGCUGUGAAGAUGCAGUGUACCCGCGGCAAGACGGAAAGACCCCGUGAACCUUUACUAUAGCUUGACACUGAACACUGGUCCUUGAUGUGUAGGAUAGGUGGGAGGCUUUGAAGUGUGGACGCCAGUCUGCAUGGAGCCGUCCUUGAAAUACCACCCUUUAAUGGCUGGUGUUCUAACGUUGGCCCCUUACCGGGGUUGCGGACAGUGUCUGGUGGGUAGUUUGACUGGGGCGGUCUCCUCCUAAAGAGUAACGGAGGAGCACGAAGGUUGGCUAAUCCUGGUCGGACAUCAGGAGGUUAGUGCAAUGGCAUAAGCCAGCUUGACUGCGAGCGUGACGGCGCGAGCAGGUGCGAAAGCAGGUCAUAGUGAUCCGGUGGUUCUGAAUGGAAGGGCCAUCGCUCAACGGAUAAAAGGUACUCCGGGGAUAACAGGCUGAUACCGCCCAAGAGUUCAUAUCGACGGCGGUGUUUGGCACCUCGAUGUCGGCUCAUCACAUCCUGGGGCUGAAGUAGGUCCCAAGGGUAUGGCUGUUCGCCAUUUAAAGUGGUACGCGAGCUGGGUUUAGAACGUCGUGAGACAGUUCGGUCCCUAUCUGCCGUGGGCGCUGGAGAACUGAGGGGGGCUGCUCCUAGUACGAGAGGACCGGAGUGGACGCAUCACUGGUGUUCGGGUUGUCAUGCCAAUGGCACUGCCCGGUAGCUAAAUGCGGAAGAGAUAAGUGCUGAAAGCAUCUAAGCACGAAACUUGCCCCGAGAUGAGUUCUCCCUGAGACAUUAAGUCUCCUGAAGGAACGUUGAAGACGACGACGUUGAUAGGCCGGGUGUGUAAGCGCAGCGAUGCGUUGAGCUAACCGGUACUAAUGAACCGUGAGGCUUAACC